This 477-nucleotide ribosomal RNA is filed under the name Burkholderiaceae bacterium. Its description in RNAcentral is "partial 23S ribosomal RNA". It matches the Rfam family "Bacterial large subunit ribosomal RNA", at positions 1 to 514 of the family's 2925-position model. The record is from RNAcentral. Lineage: Bacteria; Pseudomonadati; Pseudomonadota; Betaproteobacteria; Burkholderiales; Burkholderiaceae.
GUUAUAGGGUCAAGUGACUAAGUGCAUGUGGUGGAUGCCUUGGCAAUGAUAGGCGAAGAAGGACGUGGUAGCCUGCGAAAAGCUUCGGGGAGCUGGCAAAUAAGCUUUGAUCCGGAGAUAUCCGAAUGGGGAAACCCACCUGUAAAGGUAUCGUAUUCUGAAUACAUAGGGGUACGAGGCGAACCGGGUGAACUGAAACAUCUCAGUAGCUCGAGGAAAAGACAUCAACCGAGAUUGCGAAAGUAGUGGCGAGCGAAAUCGCAGGAGCCUGUACGAUUUAGCAUUUGGGUUAGCAAAACGGUCUGGAAAGUCCGGCCAUAGCGGGUGAUAGCCCCGUAUGUAAAAACCUGGGUGUGGAACUGAGCGUACGACAAGUAGGGCGGGACACGUGUAAUCCUGUCUGAAGAUGGGGGGACCAUCCUCCAAGGCUAAAUACUCAUCAUUGACCGAUAGUGAACAAGUACCGUGAGGGAAAGG